GAAUUUAAAAAGCAAGUGGCCCUAGGAUCUGUCACCCCACUGAUAGCCAGGGUUGAUCUGGCUCAUCUCUCUGGUUAGGCAGGUGUCCCCUUCCUCCCUCACCACUCCCCAUGUAUCCUUCCCAAAACUGUGCACUCAGUGAGAGGGGAAGACCUUACAGAGGAGGACUGUUCUCUGCUCAAGGGUAUAUGAGUGGCUAUGAACCUCCAAACAAGCUCUCAAGGUCCAUUUGGAAAAGAACAUAGAGGAGUCUAUCUUCCAAGACUCCAGACACAUCCAAAUGAGGCACUGGAUAGUCUGCCUUUCUUU
RNAcentral lists this small nuclear RNA (309 nucleotides) under Neogale vison (American mink). Its description in RNAcentral is "Neovison vison (American mink) 7SK RNA (ENSNVIG00000000260.1)". It matches the Rfam family "7SK RNA". Rfam says of the family: 7SK was discovered as an abundant small nuclear RNA in the mid-70s but a possible function has only recently been suggested. Two independent studies have found that 7SK RNA binds the CDK9/cyclin T complex (known as elongation factor P-TEFb). The record is from Rfam by way of RNAcentral. Lineage: Eukaryota; Metazoa; Chordata; Mammalia; Carnivora; Mustelidae.